RNAcentral lists this ribosomal RNA (497 nucleotides) under uncultured bacterium. Its description in RNAcentral is "partial 16S ribosomal RNA". It matches the Rfam family "Bacterial small subunit ribosomal RNA", at positions 28 to 507 of the family's 1533-position model. The record is from RNAcentral.
GAUGAACGCUGGCGGCGUGCCUAAUACAUGCAAGUCGAGCGAACAGACGAGGAGCUUGCUCCUCUUACGUUAGCGGCGGACGGGUGAGUAACACGUGGAUAACCUACCUAUAAGACUGGGAUAACUUCGGGAAACCGGAGCUAAUACCGGAUAAUAUAUUGAACCGCAUGGUUCAAUAGUGAAAGACGGUUUUGCUGUCACUUAUAGAUGGAUCCGCGCCGCAUUAGCUAGUUGGUAAGGUAACGGCUUACCAAGGCAACGAUGCGUAGCCGACCUGAGAGGGUGAUCGGCCACACUGGAACUGAGACACGGUCCAGACUCCUACGGGAGGCAGCAGUAGGGAAUCUUCCGCAAUGGGCGGAAGCCUGACGGAGCAACGCCGCGUGAGUGAUGAAGGUCUUCGGAUCGUAAAACUCUGUUAUUAGGGAAGAACAAAUGUGUAAGUAACUAUGCACGUCUUGACGGUACCUAAUCAGAAAGCCACGGCUAACUACGUG